CCCAUGAGCUGAGUGCGAUCAGGAGGACACAGCUGGGACAGCUACGGGUUCAUGCAGAUGUUAUCUUUAUAUUCAGUGAAGUUCUUCUGACAGACCUGAGAGCAGUCAAAACCUGAGCUUCAUCUUUGGAGUUUUCACACAAGCUCUCCAGCGCCUUCAUGGCGGUGUCCUGCUGUUCGUUCUGUCACAGGGGAACAAACAUCCUCCUCAUUAAUACAACCACCCACCAGUCGUAUUCAUCACAAUCAUACAGUGCUCUAAAAAUAGACCUGUUUCUCGCUGCGUCACUCAGCACCGAUCAUCAGACCCCCCCUUCACCCUCUUGCCAAAUAUGAUCACUUCUGGCUGCAGAAAAACAAGAUGCCAAAAUGCAAAUUUGAGGCUUCUAAACAACGGUCAACAAAGCAAAAGAUCAGCGCAGUAACAAGGACAUGAUCCCUCGACGGCCCACGAACUCCAAGCUGCCCUGUUUCAGACUAAACUCUGCGUACAGAGCCGAGUGAUGAGUCCUGUGAUGAGUCCUACCUCCAAAGCAAUCUGUGCAGCCAGACUGAGGAGAUUGGAAGCAGCGUUCUCAGAUACCAGCAGUCCG
Non-coding RNA from Plectropomus leopardus (leopard coralgrouper), 592 nucleotides. The record is from RefSeq and is a predicted model, not a curated record. Lineage: Eukaryota; Metazoa; Chordata; Actinopteri; Perciformes; Serranidae.